AGAGUUUGAUCAUGGCUCAGAAUCAACGCUGGCGGCGUGCCUAACACAUGCAAGUCGAACGCGAAAGGGGCUUCGGCCCUGAGUAGAGUGGCGAACGGGUGAGUAACGCGUGGGUGAUCUACCUUCAAGUGGGGGAUAACGUUCCGAAAGGAGCGCUAAUACCGCAUGACGUUCCGGGUUUAAAGACCUGGAAACCAAAGCCGGGGACCGCAAGGCCUGGCGCUGGAAGAGGAGCCCGCGUCCGAUUAGCUAGUUGGCGGGGUAACGGCCCACCAAGGCGACGAUCGGUAGCCGGCCUGAGAGGGCGGACGGCCACACUGGAACUGAGACACGGUCCAGACUCCUACGGGAGGCAGCAGUGGGGAAUUGUUCACAAUGGGCGCAAGCCUGAUGACGCAACGCCGCGUGGGGGAUGAAGGUCUUCGGAUUGUAAACCCCUGUCGAAUGGGACGAAAGACCCGGGAGCUAAUCAUCCCGGGAGUGACGGUACCGUUAAAGGAAGCCACGGCUAACUCUGUGCCAGCAGCCGCGGUAAUACAGAGGUGGCAAGCGUUGUUCGGAAUUACUGGGCGUAAAGGGCGCGUAGGCGGCCAUCUAAGUCAGACGUGAAAUCCCCCGGCUUAACCUGGGAACUGCGUCUGAUACUGGACGGCUUGAGUAUGGGAGAGGGAUGUAGAAUUCCAGGUGUAGCGGUGAAAUGCGUAGAUAUCUGGAGGAAUACCGGUGGCGAAGGCGGCAUCCUGGACCAUUACUGACGCUGAGGCGCGAAAGCUAGGGGAGCAAACGGGAUUAGAUACCCCGGUAGUCCUAGCCCUAAACGAUGAAUGCUUGGUGUGGCGGGUAUCGAUCCCUGCCGUGCCGAAGCUAACGCAUUAAGCAUUCCGCCUGGGGAGUACGGUCGCAAGGCUGAAACUCAAAGGGAU
RNAcentral lists this ribosomal RNA (923 nucleotides) under uncultured bacterium. RNAcentral's name for it is "bacterial SSU rRNA". It matches the Rfam family "Bacterial small subunit ribosomal RNA", at positions 8 to 910 of the family's 1533-position model. The record is from RNAcentral.